RNAcentral lists this ribosomal RNA (435 nucleotides) under uncultured bacterium. RNAcentral's name for it is "bacterial SSU rRNA". It matches the Rfam family "Bacterial small subunit ribosomal RNA", at positions 43 to 524 of the family's 1533-position model. The record is from RNAcentral.
CAGGCCUAACACAUGCAAGUCGAACGAUGCUUUCGGGCAUAGUGGCGCACGGGUGCGUAACGCGUGGGAAUCUGCCCUUGGGUCUGGGAUAACCGUUGGAAACGACGGCUAAUACCGGAUGAUGACGUAAGUCCAAAGAUUUAUCGCCCAGGGAUGAGCCCGCGUAGGAUUAGCUAGUUGGUGGGGUAAAGGCCUACCAAGGCGACGAUCCUUAGCUGGUCUGAGAGGAUGAUCAGCCACACUGGGACUGAGACACGGCCCAGACUCCUACGGGAGGCAGCAGUGGGGAAUAUUGGACAAUGGGCGAAAGCCUGAUCCAGCAAUGCCGCGUGAGUGAUGAAGGCCUUAGGGUUGUAAAGCUCUUUUACCCGGGAUGAUAAUGACAGUACCGGGAGAAUAAGCCCCGGCUAACUCCGUGCCAGCAGCCGCGGUAAU